Long non-coding RNA from Clupea harengus (Atlantic herring), 1364 nucleotides. Lineage: Eukaryota; Metazoa; Chordata; Actinopteri; Clupeiformes; Clupeidae. The record is from Ensembl.
GACAGUGCAGGAGGGGCUGGGACUGGACAGGAUGGAGUGAUGGAGCGGUACCACCAAGCAGCUGUUCCACCCCCCAGUCCUGCUAUACGUGGACUGUGGCCGCUGCGUGAGUGAGGGGGCGAAUAAGCUGCAGACCAGGUACACCUGGCACUUCAUGAGGAGGCUGGCUGUCGGCAGAACCACCACCAAUGCUCUACCACACCUUCAUGGGCUGCCUGUCUGCAUGCCCCUUUGAGUGGGAUGCAGGGGACCUCGCUCUGUUGCGGCAGAUGACGAGGGAGCAGCUCAGGCAGGAAGGGGUGCUAGCCCUUACUGAUCUUCUGGUGGACAGGAGAAUAAGUAGGAGGGAGUUGAGCCAGUACUGCUGCAGGAGGACAUGCGGCGUGGAGGCCGCCAUCAGCCUUAUUGAGCGGCUGCUGCAGGAACUGGUGGGUGGGGGACCUGACUGCUGCUGCCUCCAUGCUGCACACAGGUGUCCCAGCCUCUCCUGAUGAGCCUGGGUUAUGUAAAUUCAUACUUGUGUGUAAAGAAGUAAAAUCACUGUAUCUGCUUUUUGUCCCACAUCUGUUUACUAAAUUUGUCACUCAUCAGUUUUUAUGUUUUUUUUUCUUUCUCAGGCUGUGGAUGACUCUGGGGUGCCAGGCAUGGACCGAGUUGACAGCAUGGCAGAGUAUCUGGUGGAGCUGAGGCACCAGCUCUCUCUGGCCCUCACCAACCAGCAGAUGGGAUCUCAUCCUGAAUGACUACAGGAGGAUCAGGCGGCACAUUCUAGACAAUGGGGCUGUUAUGCAGCAGACCACCCUGCAGCUGGUAGACGUGAGCCACACCACCCAACCUGGUACAGUGGCACAACAAGAGGGUGUAGAGGCAGGGCAACGUGGUGGUGCAAGGACUGGACUUGCCAAGCCACUUGUCUGUGCGACUGACCCUCUCCUCCCUGCUAAUGUGUGCCCAUCAUCUGCACCCCCCCCCCCCAACCAGGCCCAAUUCACCAGUACCCCCGGGCUGGCAGCACCGUGGGCCAGGCACAGGUGAAGAGGAAGGUAUCGUCCGCCGUCGCACCAGCGGCUGUGAACUCGUGCCCCCAGCGAGAACUCUUCCCUGCUCCACCCUCGGGCCCUCAGCUGUUCAUGCUGGGUCCAGUGACCUCACAGGGGCAUGUGCUGGGUGCUGCUCCACAGGCUCUGGGUGCCAGCCUCUCCUCUGCCAUUCCUGCUCCAGUCCGAAAACGGACCUGCAGUGUUCUGCGCAACACGUGCAAGAAAUGCGGGCAGUUCAGGACAGCGGAGACUGGACACAGCCAGUACAAGGGCAUUAUAUACUGCCCCUCUGUAGAGGCUGUACCCAAGGAGCAGUGGUUGGAG